RNAcentral lists this ribosomal RNA (396 nucleotides) under uncultured bacterium. Its description in RNAcentral is "partial 16S ribosomal RNA". It matches the Rfam family "Bacterial small subunit ribosomal RNA", at positions 523 to 918 of the family's 1533-position model. The record is from RNAcentral.
AUACGUAGGUGGCAAGCGUUACCCGGAUUUACUGGGUGUAAAGGGCGUGUAGGCGGGACUGCAAGUCAGAUGUGAAAUUCCAGGGCUCAACCCUGGAACUGCAUUUGAAACUGUAGUUCUUGAGUGAUGGAGAGGCAGGCGGAGAUUCCGGGGGUGCGGUGAGAAGCGUAGAUAUUCGGAGGAACACCAGUGGCGAAGGCGGCCUGCUGGACAUUAACUGACGCUGAGGCGCGAAAGCGUGGGGAGCAAACAGGAUUAGAUACCCUGGUAGUCCACGCUGUAAACGAUGGGUACUAGGUGUGGGGGGACUGACCCCUUCCGUGCCGCAGUUAACACAAUAAGUAUCCCACCUGGGGAGUACGAUCGCAAGGUUGAAACUCAAAUGAAUUGACGGGG